Molecule: ribosomal RNA, 465 nt
Filed under: uncultured bacterium
Lineage: Bacteria
Description: partial 16S ribosomal RNA
Rfam family: Bacterial small subunit ribosomal RNA
Source: RNAcentral
GACGAACGCUGGCGGCGUGCUUAACACAUGCAAGUCGUACGGUAAGGCCCUUUCGGGGGUACACGAGUGGCGAACGGGUGCGUAACACGUGAGUAACCUGCCCACAACUUUGGGAUAACGCUAGGAAACUGGUGCUAAUACUGGAUAUGUGCUCCUGCUGCAUGGUGGGGGUUGGAAAGCUCCGGCGGUUGUGGAUGGACUCGCGGCCUAUCAGCUUGUUGGUGGGGUAGUGGCCUACCAAGGCGGCGACGGGUAGCCGGCCUGAGAGGGUGACCGGCCACAUUGGGACUGAGAUACGGCCCAGACUCCUACGGGAGGCAGCAGUGGGGAAGAUUGCACAAUGGGCGCAAGCCUGAUGCAGCAACGCCGCGUGCGGGAUGACGGCCUUCGGGUUGUAAACCGCUUUCAGCAGGGACGAAGCUUUUUGUGACGGUACCUGCAGAAGAAGCACCGGCUAACUACGUG